This 215-nucleotide ribosomal RNA is filed under the name Robertmurraya crescens. RNAcentral's name for it is "partial 16S ribosomal RNA". It matches the Rfam family "Bacterial small subunit ribosomal RNA", at positions 1 to 212 of the family's 1533-position model. RNAcentral also lists the same sequence under 1 other name. The record is from RNAcentral. Lineage: Bacteria; Bacillati; Bacillota; Bacilli; Caryophanales; Bacillaceae.
UUCAUGGAGAGUUUGAUCCUGGCUCAGGACGAACGCUGGCGGCGUGCCUAAUACAUGCAAGUCGAGCGGACAGAUGGGAGCUUGCUCCCUGAUGUCAGCGGCGGACGGGUGAGUAACACGUGGGUAACCUGCCUGUAAGACUGGGAUAACUCCGGGAAACCGGGGCUAAUACCGGAUGCUUGAUUGAACCGCAUGGUUCAAUUAUAAAAGGUGGC